AGGCUUCACUGGGCAGGGUUUGGACUGGUCCAUCAGGGAAGGGCAUGGUCUUCCAUCACCUUGAAAGGGCUGGGUCACUGUUCGUCUUCGGAUCAUUUUUCCUUUAAGAGAUACAAAGUGAUGCAACUUUAAUAUAUGUUAUGGUUUUGCAAGCAUGUAUCUCAUUGGGAGAAGGCAUCACAGUGAUAUCUCCCGAGGCGAUCCAGGAACAAAUCUAUUGAGGCUCCCACUUAUCUUGGUUGGUAUUUGACCCAGUGGACCUCAGAUGCACGGAGAGUCAACAUUUGUCAUGUUUUUGGGCUCUACCUGGACCUGCCAACCCAGUUCCUGUGUGCCCCCCAGAAGAAUUCAGCCUGCAGGAGGACAGCUUUGACCCCCUGUGAUUUCAUCUCUGCCCCAACCAAUCAGCAGCAAGAACCCAUUACCUGGCAGCCCCACCCCUUCCCCCAAACUGCCUUUGAAAAACCCCUACCUAGGAGCCUUAGGCAAGAUUGAUCUGAGUACUAACUCCAUCUUCCAUGUAUCAUGGCUGGCCUUAUGUCUAUUAAACUCUUUCUUUACUGC
This 564-nucleotide non-coding RNA is filed under the name Pongo abelii (Sumatran orangutan). The record is from RNAcentral. Lineage: Eukaryota; Metazoa; Chordata; Mammalia; Primates; Hominidae.